This is a long non-coding RNA of Talpa occidentalis (Iberian mole), 963 nucleotides long. RefSeq lists it as uncharacterized. NCBI's taxonomy places the organism in Eukaryota, Metazoa, Chordata, Mammalia, Eulipotyphla, Talpidae. The transcript is spliced from 6 exons. The record is from RefSeq and is a predicted model, not a curated record.
CAGAUCUCUCUCAUCUCCGUUCUAAGUGCCAUCCAUUCUCAUCCUUUGUCUUUGGCCCUGCUGUCUUGGCUUUAUUCCAUCCAUUGAAUCUCCACCUUUGGCCUCACAUUUGAACCUAGUUAGCAUUUGAACCUUGCACGUCGUGCUGGUUUUCUGGCUUUGGACACAUCAGGGGACAGACAGCUCAUGUUGUUACAGAUAAAAUUGUCCAACCUUUCACUCGCCCUGGAAGAAAAGGCCAAUUUAGCAUCAUCCAUCUUCCAGCAUAAGCUCUAGUUCUACCACCAUCUUUUGAUGUCCUCAAGCUUCUAGUGACAUCUGGCCAUUCAGCCCUACCGAAGUCCUGCUUACAUCCUAAUGGACUAUUGAUUGGAAGAAGAGCAUGUACGACUGGAGCUGUGCCCCUUUCAGUGGACAGAGUUUAGGCAUAAUACUUCAUCUCUUUUUCAUCACAAGCUUGGACAGUUCGAGGCUAGAGAUGACUCAGAGCUGGAGGCUGGAAUCAUAUAAGGUCUGGAGGUCAGGAACCCAGAAUCAGUUUCACUGGCUUGAAAUAGAGCUGUCAGCUGGCCCUUGCUCCUUCCUAAGACAUUAGGAGGUGAUCUGUUUCCUUGUCUUUCCCAGAUGCAAGAAUAGAAUUCUCUCUAUGCCUUGAUUCUUGGUCUCUUCCAUCUUGAAAGCCUGCAGUGUAACAUCUUGCUUCAUCAGUCAUAACUACUCCUUCUCUUAGAAUAAAAUCUUCUAUUUCCCCCCAAAAAGACUAUUACAAUUAAAAUCAGAACCUCUCUGCAUAAACCUCCAUUUUUCUAGCUCUUAAUCACAUCUGCCAGUUUCUGUUUGCCAUAUAAGAUAGCAUUCACCAGAUAAGAACUUAGAAAUCUUCGGAAGCAAAGAUAUACUCCUAUAUUUUUUUCAUUGUAGAUAAAGCUCCACGGAAGCAGAACCUAGAUUAAAGUUCAGAUC